UUUUCAGACAAGGUGGCCAUAUGAAAAAGACCAAAAUUAAAAGAGCCAAGAAAGGGCACGGAAGUUAUCUGAAAAAAACAAUCAAGACUUGACUCCUGCUUCUUUCACUUUCCUCCAUCUAUUCUCACUUAUCAAACUAGAUGAAUAACCAACAGAAAGUACAAUUAAGCCUCUGUCUGUCAUAUAACAACAGCUUUUACAAAUGUACCCCUAAGUUUUAUAUACUUAUUUCCUUUUAGACUGCUGGUUAUGUCACUGUUAGUGUGUGCUGACUGCCACUAAGAUAACUUUGGUUAUUAACUGUAAUAAACAGCACCUUCUACUUUAAAUAUAUUUUGAAAAACAACAUUUAAUGCUGACUUAAGCCAAUAUUAGGUCAUCAUCAUGUUACACCUUCACUUGAAAUCAGCUUAGAAUUAAGUCUAUAUUUGUGCUUUAUUUAUAAAAUGAAUCCUUAUCUACGUAUGUUGUAGAGGGAGGGUAUCUGGGGAAAUUUAUGUGCCACAGAGAAUUUUAAAGCAAUUUCUUUAACUAGUGACAAAAGAACUGGGAGAAGACUGGAUUCCUUAGAAUAACGCUUCCUUUCUCAUGGUUGCGUGUGACUAUGCUAACUUUAGGUCUUGCUACUGUUGGAUAUUUAUAAUAGACAUACAAAUCUUAAAUGUAAACAGGCUAAGCACCUCGGGCUUUACCGUGAUAUGAUUAGGAAUCAUUUAUCAAAUGGUUCUGAGAAAGGGGAAAGCAUGCUAUUGGGAUAGAAGGAGGGAAUCUGAGGAGUUAAAGCCCCAGUUAUUCAUCACUGUCAAAUGGAUUUAU
RNAcentral lists this long non-coding RNA (816 nucleotides) under Bos taurus (domestic cattle). Its description in RNAcentral is "long non-coding RNA NONBTAT025059". The record is from RNAcentral. Lineage: Eukaryota; Metazoa; Chordata; Mammalia; Artiodactyla; Bovidae.